This is a small nuclear RNA of Zootoca vivipara (common lizard), 129 nucleotides long. The record is from RefSeq and is a predicted model, not a curated record. NCBI's taxonomy places the organism in Eukaryota, Metazoa, Chordata, Lepidosauria, Squamata, Lacertidae.
GUAUUGCAUGUAAGGAGAGAAGGGUAGCACUGCACUUGAUAAGGAUGAAAUAUGUGUUUAUGGCAUGUACAACAUGCAUAUGGUUUAAGAUAUUGCCGCUUACUUUGUGGCAUCUAACCUUUUUUUUUC